Long non-coding RNA from Gossypium arboreum, 442 nucleotides. RefSeq lists it as uncharacterized. The record is from RefSeq and is a predicted model, not a curated record. The transcript is spliced from 3 exons. NCBI's taxonomy places the organism in Eukaryota, Viridiplantae, Streptophyta, Magnoliopsida, Malvales, Malvaceae.
GAAAAGGAAAUGAAAACGAAAACAGAGAAGAAACAGGGGAGAAAGAAGAAAGAAAAGGGGAAAUAGGGUUUAUGAUUGCCAACAAAGAACCUGAAGCAUCAGCAUCGAAAGGAAAGGAGAAAGUCAUCGAGGACUAAAACGGGAUAAUUACGGUUAGUAGAAGUCAAGUGUCCCGGCUCAGCAUCCAGAACAAUCCCGACUCCAACACAAACUUGGUGAUGUAUAUUUUUCUUUUGGGUAAAGGUGGCAUGUACAUAGGUGUUAUUUAGUCACUUGAAUAUGUAUAUUACUUUGGGUAGUGAAGGAUGAAUUAUAAAAUUUAGAUGGUUAAAUGAAAUGGUAAGGAAAGUACAUGAUAUUUUGAUACAUGAACAUCAAGUUGUUAAAUGAAUGAAGUUUUUAAUCAAUUUUGAAUGAUGCUAUAAUAGUUAUUAAAUUAAAA